UGCCUCAUAGCUCAAUUGGUAGAGCAAGCAGCUGUUAACUGCUUUUGUUGUAGGUACCCUUCGGGAAGCAAGCUACGAGUCCUACUGGGGCAGCCA
RNAcentral lists this transfer RNA (96 nucleotides) under Cylindrospermum sp. FACHB-282. Its description in RNAcentral is "tRNA-Asn". It matches the Rfam family "tRNA". Rfam says of the family: Transfer RNA (tRNA) molecules are approximately 80 nucleotides in length. Their secondary structure includes four short double-helical elements and three loops (D, anti-codon, and T loops). The record is from RNAcentral. Lineage: Bacteria; Bacillati; Cyanobacteriota; Cyanophyceae; Nostocales; Nostocaceae.